Molecule: long non-coding RNA, 352 nt
Organism: Sander lucioperca (pikeperch)
Lineage: Eukaryota; Metazoa; Chordata; Actinopteri; Perciformes; Percidae
Exons: 2
Source: RefSeq, a predicted model, not a curated record
UUGAGCCCUGCCAAUGGGGAGUUCCCAGACCCAACAUCUGGAUGUGGGUCUGGCUUGUCAGGCUAACAAUGCAGUACAGUCCAUAUAGGAACAGAAAGGUGUUCUCUAGUCCCGGUGCAAAACAAAAGAAUGAACAAAUCAACAUGAGGUGAAAACAACAAGAUACAAAACAGUUACAGAACAAGAUACAAGACAAGGAACAAACAUUUAGUGAAAUAAUAGAAAAAUAUACAUACAGGGGAAAAUAUAAAUACACAGAGUGAAAAUAAAUGGAAACAAAUGUAAAGCAGUUCCCUGAUAAUAUGUAUGUAAUAUAAUAACAGUAAUCCAUUUGAAUUCAUAAUUCUGUUGU